This 200-nucleotide long non-coding RNA is filed under the name Lathyrus oleraceus (garden pea). RNAcentral's name for it is "Pisum sativum (pea) long non-coding RNA (PSAT_LNC021836)". Lineage: Eukaryota; Viridiplantae; Streptophyta; Magnoliopsida; Fabales; Fabaceae. The record is from RNAcentral.
UCAGGGACAGCAGGAGCUUAGAUUGUUGGUACAGAGGGAUCCCCCUACUACUCAACUGGAGGUUGUGGCUGAUCCUCCAGCUGGAGAGGCUAAUGGACCUAAUGGAACGGGGCUAUCCCGACCUCACGUGUCAACCUUGAUAAACAACCCAUCCAUGAUGAUCAGGAGGAUCAAUUCGCCUUGCUUCAGGAGGACUUUGG